RNAcentral lists this ribosomal RNA (455 nucleotides) under uncultured soil bacterium. RNAcentral's name for it is "bacterial SSU rRNA". It matches the Rfam family "Bacterial small subunit ribosomal RNA", at positions 26 to 503 of the family's 1533-position model. The record is from RNAcentral.
AGAUUGAACGCUGGCGGCAUGCUUUACACAUGCAAGUCGAACGGCAGCACGGGGGCAACCCUGGUGGCGAGUGGCGAACGGGUGAGUAAUGCAUCGGAACGUAUCUUUAAGUGGGGGAUAACGCAUCGAAAGAUGCGCUAAUACCGCAUAAUCUCUGAGGAGAAAAGCAGGGGAUCGCAAGACCUUGCGCUUUUGGAGCGGCCGAUGUCUGAUUAGCUAGUUGGUGGGGUAAAGGCUUACCAAGGCUUCGAUCAGUAGCUGGUCUGAGAGGACGACCAGCCACACUGGGACUGAGACACGGCCCAGACUCCUACGGGAGGCAGCAGUGGGAAUUUUGGACAAGUGGGGGAACCUGAUCCAGCCAUGCCGCGUGAGUGAAGAAGGCCGUUACGGUUAGUAAAGUCUCUUCAGGACCGGAACGAAACGGUUACGGUUAAGUAACCGUAGACUACGUA